RNAcentral lists this ribosomal RNA (497 nucleotides) under uncultured bacterium. RNAcentral's name for it is "partial 16S ribosomal RNA". It matches the Rfam family "Bacterial small subunit ribosomal RNA", at positions 28 to 507 of the family's 1533-position model. The record is from RNAcentral.
GACGAACGCUGGCGGCGUGCCUAAUACAUGCAAGUUGAGCGCUGAAGGUUGGUACUUGUACCAACUGGAUGAGCAGCGAACGGGUGAGUAACGCGUGGGGAGUCUGCCUAUGAGCGGGGGACAACAUUUGGAAACGAAUGCUAAUACCGCAUAAAAACUUUAAACACAAGUUUUAAGUUUGAAAGAUGCAAUUGCAUCACUCAAAGAUGAUCCCGCGUUGUAUUAGCUAGUUGGUGAGGUAAAGGCUCACCAAGGCGAUGAUACAUAGCCGACCUGAGAGGGUGAUCGGCCACAUUGGGACUGAGACACGGCCCAAACUCCUACGGGAGGCAGCAGUAGGGAAUCUUCGGCAAUGGACGAAAGUCUGACCGAGCAACGCCGCGUGAGUGAAGAAGGUUUUCGGAUCGUAAAACUCUGUUGGUAGAGAAGAACGUUGGUGAGAGUGGAAAGCUCAUCAAGUGACGGUAACUACCCAGAAAGGGACGGCUAACUACGUG